AUUGAACGCUGGCGGCAGGCCUAACACAUGCAAGUCGAACGGUAACAGGAGACAGCUUGCUGUUUCGCUGACGAGUGGCGGACGGGUGAGUAAUGUCUGGGAAACUGCCUGAUGGAGGGGGAUAACUACUGGAAACGGUAGCUAAUACCGCAUAACGUCGCAAGACCAAAGAGGGGGACCUUCGGGCCUCUUGCCAUCGGAUGUGCCAAGAUGGGAUUAGCUAGUAGGUGGGGUAACGGCUCACCUAGGCGACGAUCCCUAGCUGGUCUGAGAGGAUGACCAGCCACACUGGAACUGAGACACGGUCCAGACUCCUACGGGAGGCAGCAGUGGGGAAUAUUGCACAAUGGGCGCAAGCCUGAUGCAGCCAUGCCGCGUGUAUGAAGAAGGCCUUCGGGUUGUAAAGUACUUUCAGCGGGGAGGAAGGGAGUAAAGUUAAUACCUUUGCUCAUUGACGUUACCCGCAGAAGAAGCACCGGCUAACUCCGUG
This 490-nucleotide ribosomal RNA is filed under the name uncultured bacterium. RNAcentral's name for it is "partial 16S ribosomal RNA". It matches the Rfam family "Bacterial small subunit ribosomal RNA", at positions 30 to 507 of the family's 1533-position model. The record is from RNAcentral.